GGUGUUGCGCCGAAGAUGUCCGGGGCUAAAAUCUAUUACCGAAGUUGUGGGAUGUACGAAAGUACAUCGGUAGAGGAGCAUUCUGUGCAGGAAGAAGUUCCAUCGAAAGAGGAUAUGGACAGUACAGAAGAGAGAAUGUUGGCAUGAGUAGCGAAAGGUGAGUGAGAAUCUCACCCAUCGAAAGCCUAAGGAUUCCUGAGGAAGGCUCGUCCACUCAGGGUAAGUCGGGACCUAAGCCGAGGCGUAUUGCGUAGGCGAUGGACAACUGGUUGAAAUUCCAGUACCACCUUUAAGCGUUUGAGAAAUGGGGUAACACAGAAGGGUAGGCUAGCGCACUGAUGGAAUAGUGCGUCUAAGUAAGUAGGGAGACACCGGAGGCAAAUCCCCGGAGUCAAUCCUGAGAUACGAAUGGGAGCGAAAAGAAGUAGUGAAGUAGUUGAGCCCACGCUGUCAAGAAAAGCCUCUAUCGAGCAAGAAGGUGCCCGUACCGCAAACCGACACAGGUAGGCAAGGAGAGAAUCCAAAGAUGAGCGGAAGAACUAUUGUUAAGGAACUAGGCAAAAUGACCCCGUAACUUCGGGAGAAGGGGUGCCCAUUGGAGUGAAGUCUGAACAGAUGGAGCUUCGAAGGGUCACAGAAAACAGGCCCAAGCGACUGUUUACCAAAAACACAGGUCUCUGCUAAAUCGAAAGAUGAAGUAUAGGGGCUGACACCUGCCCGGUGCUGGAAGGUUAAGGGGAGAAGUCAUCGAAAGAGAAGCUUUGAACUUAAGCCCCAGUAAACGGCGGCCGUAACUAUAACGGUCCUAAGGUAGCGAAAUUCCUUGUCGGGUAAGUUCCGACCCGCACGAAAGGUGUAACGAUUUGGGCACUGUCUCAACAAUAGAUCCGGUGAAAUUGUAGUACUCGUGAAGAUGCGAGUUACCCGCGGCAGGACGGAAAGACCCCAUGGAGCUUUACUGCAGGCUGACAUUGGAAUUCGGUAGCAAUUGUACAGGAUAGGUGGGAGACAAAGAAGCAUGCACGCCAGUGUGUGUGGAGUCGACGUUGGGAUACCACUCUAUUGUUACUGAAUUUCUAACAUGAUACCGUAAUCCGGUAUAUGGACACUGUCAGUUGGGCAGUUUGACUGGGGCGGUCGCCUCCGAAAGAGUAACGGAGGCGCUCAAAGGUUCCCUCAGCACGGUCGGAAAUCGUGCGAAGAGUGUAAAGGCAGAAGGGAGCUUGACUGAGAGAGAGACAUCUCGAUCAGGAACGAAAGUUGGACUUAGUGAUCCGGUGGCACCGAGUGGAAAGGCCAUCGCUUAACGGAUAAAAGCUACCCUGGGGAUAACAGGCUUAUCUCCCCCAAGAGUCCACAU
This 1360-nucleotide ribosomal RNA is filed under the name bioreactor sludge metagenome. RNAcentral describes it as "bacterial LSU rRNA". It matches the Rfam family "Bacterial large subunit ribosomal RNA", at positions 1155 to 2505 of the family's 2925-position model. The record is from RNAcentral.